GUGUCAGCAGCCGCGGUAAUACGUAGGGGCCAAGCGUUGUCCGGAUUUAUUGGGCGUAAAGAGCGCGCAGGCGGUCGUUCAAGUCGAGUGUGAAAGCCCAGGGCUCAACCCUGGGCCUGCAUUCGAUACGGGCAGACUAGAGUAUGGCAGGGGAGACUGGAAUUCCUGGUGUAGCGGUGAAAUGCGCAGAUAUCAGGAGGAACACCAAUGGAGAAGGCAGCUCGCUGGGACGUGACUGACGCUGAGACGCGAAAGCGUGGGGAGCGAACAGGAUUAGAUACCCUUGUAGUCC
This 292-nucleotide ribosomal RNA is filed under the name uncultured bacterium. RNAcentral describes it as "partial 16S ribosomal RNA". It matches the Rfam family "Bacterial small subunit ribosomal RNA", at positions 505 to 796 of the family's 1533-position model. The record is from RNAcentral.